AUACAUGCAAGUCGAGCGAAUGGAUUAAGAGCUUGCUCUUAUGAAGUUAGCGGCGGACGGGUGAGUAACACGUGGGUAACCUGCCCAUAAGACUGGGAUAACUCCGGGAAACCGGGGCUAAUACCGGAUAACAUUUUGAACCGCAUGGUUCGAAAUUGAAAGGCGGCUUCGGCUGUCACUUAUGGAUGGACCCGCGUCGCAUUAGCUAGUUGGUGAGGUAACGGCUCACCAAGGCAACGAUGCGUAGCCGACCUGAGAGGGUGAUCGGCCACACUGGGACUGAGACACGGCCCAGACUCCUACGGGAGGCAGCAGUAGGGAAUCUUCCGCAAUGGACGAAAGUCUGACGGAGCAACGCCGCGUGAGUGAUGAAGGCUUUCGGGUCGUAAAACUCUGUUGUUAGGGAAGAACAAGUGCUAGUUGAAUAAGCUGGCACCUUGACGGUACCUAACCAGAAAGCCACGGCUAACUACGUGCCAGCAGCCGCGGUAAUACGUAGGUGGCAAGCGUUAUCCGGAAUUAUUGGGCGUAAAGCGCGCGCAGGUGGUUUCUUAAGUCUGAUGUGAAAGCCCACGGCUCAACCGUGGAGGGUCUAUUGGAAACUGGGAGACUUGAGUGCAGAAGAGGAAAGUGGAAUUCCAUGUGUAGCGGUGAAAUGCGUAGAGAUAUGGAGGAACACCAGUGGCGAAGGCGACUUUCUGGUCUGUAACUG
RNAcentral lists this ribosomal RNA (712 nucleotides) under Bacillus cereus. RNAcentral's name for it is "bacterial SSU rRNA". It matches the Rfam family "Bacterial small subunit ribosomal RNA", at positions 51 to 742 of the family's 1533-position model. Lineage: Bacteria; Bacillati; Bacillota; Bacilli; Caryophanales; Bacillaceae. The record is from RNAcentral.